AUUAAAUAUUAUUAUUUUGUUUAUUUUAAUAUAAAUAAUUAAUAUUUUAAUAACAGAUUAAUAGUGUUUAACUAUUUGAGAGAGAGCGAUAACAGGUCUGUGAUGCCCUUAGAUGUCCGGGGCUGCACGCGCGCUACAAUGUAGUGAUCAUUAUGUUCCUGUUUAGAGAUAAAUGGGUAAACAUUGAAAACAUUACGUAACUGGGAGUGAAAAUUGCAAUUAUUUUUCAUGAACGAGGAAUUCCAAGUAAACGUAAGUC
This 259-nucleotide unclassified non-coding RNA is filed under the name Strongyloides stercoralis. RNAcentral describes it as "partial 18S small subunit ribosomal RNA". It matches the Rfam family "Eukaryotic small subunit ribosomal RNA", at positions 1353 to 1629 of the family's 1831-position model. The record is from RNAcentral. Lineage: Eukaryota; Metazoa; Nematoda; Chromadorea; Rhabditida; Strongyloididae.